GCCCGCCUAGCUCAAUCGGAUAGAGCGUCAGACUUUUAUUCCAAAUAAUCGUCAAAUCUGAAGGCUGCGAGUUCAACCCUCGCGGUGGGCU
Molecule: non-coding RNA, 91 nt
Organism: Lentinula boryana
Lineage: Eukaryota; Fungi; Basidiomycota; Agaricomycetes; Agaricales; Omphalotaceae
Source: the annotation of a GenBank genome assembly